CUGAGUUCUUACAAACUCCAACCCUUUGUGAACCAUACCAACUGUUGCCUCGGCGUGAGCUGCGGCUGCUUGGUAGCUACCCGGUAGUCACCUACCCGGUACCUACCCUGUAGCGUCUGCAUAUAAGCCCGCCGAAGGACCACUAAACUCUGUUUGACAGUGUAUUCUGAAUGCUUCAACUAAAUAGUUA
This 190-nucleotide unclassified non-coding RNA is filed under the name uncultured Ascomycota. RNAcentral's name for it is "sequence contains ITS1". The record is from RNAcentral. Lineage: Eukaryota; Fungi; Ascomycota.